This 426-nucleotide ribosomal RNA is filed under the name uncultured Pseudomonadaceae bacterium. Its description in RNAcentral is "bacterial SSU rRNA". It matches the Rfam family "Bacterial small subunit ribosomal RNA", at positions 356 to 774 of the family's 1533-position model. Lineage: Bacteria; Pseudomonadati; Pseudomonadota; Gammaproteobacteria; Pseudomonadales; Pseudomonadaceae. The record is from RNAcentral.
GGGGAAUAUUGGACAAUGGGGGAAACCCUGAUCCAGCCAUGCCGCGUGUGUGAAGAAGGUCUUAGGAUUGUAAAGCACUUUAAGUUGGGAGGAAGAGCAGUUAACUAAUAUUUGACUGUUUUGACGUUACCGACAGAAUAAGCACCGGCUAACUUCGUGCCAGCAGCCGCGGUAAUACGAAGGGUGCAAGCGUUAAUCGGAAUUACUGGGCGUAAAGCGCGCGUAGGUGGUUCAGUAAGUUAGGAGUGAAAGCCCCGGGCUUAACCUGGGAAUUGCUUCUAAAACUGCUGAGCUAGAGUACGGUAGAGGGUGGUGGAAUUCCCGGUGUAGCGGUGAAAUGCGUAGAUAUUGGGAGGAAGACCAGUGGCGAAGGCGACUACCUGGACGAUAACUGACGCUGAGGCACGAAAGCUGGGGUAGCAAACA